This is a non-coding RNA of Heterocephalus glaber (naked mole-rat), 116 nucleotides long. Lineage: Eukaryota; Metazoa; Chordata; Mammalia; Rodentia; Bathyergidae. The record is from Rfam.
UUGGGAAUUUGUACCUUUACCCUGAAUGCGCCCAAUCUUGUCUGAUCUUGGAAGCUAAGCAGGGUUGGGACUAGUUAGUACUUGGAUGGAGAAAAUUUCAUAGCUUGACUUCCAGC